RNAcentral lists this ribosomal RNA (253 nucleotides) under uncultured bacterium. Its description in RNAcentral is "partial 16S ribosomal RNA". It matches the Rfam family "Bacterial small subunit ribosomal RNA", at positions 524 to 776 of the family's 1533-position model. The record is from RNAcentral.
UACGUACUGUGCGAACGUUAUUCGGAAUCACUGGGCUUAAAGGGUGCGUAGGCGGCCUGUUAAGUAGGGUGUGAAAUGCCAGAGCUCAACUUGGGCAUUGCGCUCUAGACUGGCUGGCUUGAGUGAGAUAGGGGUGUGCGGAACUUCCAGUGGAGCGGUGAAAUGUGUUGAUAUUGGAAGGAACGCCGGUGGCGAAAGCGGCACACUGGGUCUUAACUGACGCUGAGACGCGAAAGCGUGGGGAGCGAACAGG